UCACUGAUGGAUCCAAGACGGGCUG
Molecule: non-coding RNA, 25 nt
Filed under: Cricetulus griseus (Chinese hamster)
Lineage: Eukaryota; Metazoa; Chordata; Mammalia; Rodentia; Cricetidae
Source: RNAcentral